AGAGUUUGAUCAUGGCUCAGAUUGAACGCUGGCGGCAGGCUUAACACAUGCAAGUCGAACGGUAACAGGGAGAAGCUUGCUUCUUUGCUGACGAGUGGCGGACGGGUGAGUAAUGCUUGGGAAUCUGGCUUAUGGAGGGGGAUAACUACGGGAAACUGUAGCUAAUACCGCGUAAUAUCUUCGGAUUAAAGGGUGGGACUUUCGGGCCACCUGCCAUAAGAUGAGCCCAAGUGGGAUUAGGUAGUUGGUGGGGUAAAGGCCUACCAAGCCGACGAUCUCUAGCUGGUCUGAGAGGAUGACCAGCCACACUGGAACUGAGACACGGUCCAGACUCCUACGGGAGGCAGCAGUGGGGAAUAUUGCACAAUGGGGGGAACCCUGAUGCAGCCAUGCCGCGUGAAUGAAGAAGGCCUUCGGGUUGUAAAGUUCUUUCGGUGAUGAGGAAGGUGUUUGUUUUAAUAGAACAAGCAAUUGACGUUAGUCACAGAAGAAGCACCGGCUAACUCCGUGCCAGCAGCCGCGGUAAUACGGAGGGUGCGAGCGUUAAUCGGAAUGACUGGGCGUAAAGGGCACGCAGGCGGUGACUUAAGUGAGAUGUGAAAGCCCCGAGCUUAACUUGGGAAUUGCAUUUCAUACUGGGUCGCUAGAGUACUUUAGGGAGGGGUAGAAUUCCACGUGUAGCGGUGAAAUGCGUAGAGAUGUGGAGGAAUACCGAAGGCGAAGGCAGCCCCUUGGGAAUGUACUGACGCUCAUGUGCGAAAGCGUGGGGAGCAAACAGGAUUAGAUACCCUGGUAGUCCACGCUGUAAACGCUGUCGAUUUGGGGAUUGGGCUUAGAGCUUGGUGCCCGUAGCUAACGUGAUAAA
RNAcentral lists this ribosomal RNA (865 nucleotides) under uncultured bacterium. RNAcentral's name for it is "bacterial SSU rRNA". It matches the Rfam family "Bacterial small subunit ribosomal RNA", at positions 8 to 864 of the family's 1533-position model. The record is from RNAcentral.